Molecule: transfer RNA, 60 nt
Filed under: Cloeon dipterum
Lineage: Eukaryota; Metazoa; Arthropoda; Insecta; Ephemeroptera; Baetidae
Description: tRNA-Cys
Source: RNAcentral
AACCUUAUAGUCUAUACAGGACGUUGAAUUGCAAUUUCAAAGGAGUUACAACUAAGGUUU